RNAcentral lists this ribosomal RNA (844 nucleotides) under uncultured Verrucomicrobia subdivision 3 bacterium. RNAcentral's name for it is "bacterial SSU rRNA". It matches the Rfam family "Bacterial small subunit ribosomal RNA", at positions 34 to 850 of the family's 1533-position model. The record is from RNAcentral. Lineage: Bacteria; Pseudomonadati; Verrucomicrobiota; Verrucomicrobiia; Limisphaerales.
CGCUGGCGGCGUGGAUAAGACAUGCAAGUCGAGCGCUGAUUUCAGGGUAGCAAUAUUCUGAGGUCGGAGCGGCGCAAGGGUGCGUAACACGUGGGUAAUCUGCCAUGAAGUUCGGGAUAACUUGCUGAAAGGCGAGCUAAUACCGGAUGUGACAGCUGGAAGACAUCUUUUGGUUGUUAAAGUUGGGGACCGUAAGGCCUGACGCUUCUUGAUGAACCCGCGGCCUAUCAGCUAGUUGGUGAGGUAACGGCCCACCAAGGCUAAGACGGGUAGCUGGUCUGAGAGGACGACCAGCCACACUGGAACUGAGACACGGUCCAGACACCUACGGGUGGCAGCAGUCGAGAAUUUUUCACAAUGGGCGCAAGCCUGAUGGAGCGACGCCGCGUGGGGGAUGAAUGGCUUCGGCCCGUAAACCCCUGUCAUUCGCGAUCAAACGUUAUUAUUUAAAAGAUGAUGACCUGAUAGUAGCGGAAGAGGAAGGGACGGCUAACUCUGUGCCAGCAGCCGCGGUAAUACAGAGGUCCCAAGCGUUGUUCGGAUUCACUGGGCGUAAAGGGUGCGUAGGUGGUGAGGUAAGUCGGAUGUGAAAGCUCGGAGCUCAACUCCGAAAUGGCAUUGGAAACUACCUUGCUCGAGGGUUGGAGGGGGGACUGGAAUACUUGGUGUAGCAGUGGAAUGCGUAGAUAUCAAGUGGAACACCAGUGGCGAAGGCGAGUCCCUGGACAACUCCUGACACUGAGGCACGAAAGCUAGGGGAGCAAACAGGAUUAGAUACCCUGGUAGUCCUAGCCGUAAACGGUGCACGUUUGCUGUAAAAGGAAUCGACCCCUUUUGUGGCGGA